AAGCUCCAAAAAACCAAAAUGAGAUUGUGACAUAUCACUGGACCGAGCACCUUGGUGAUGUGACUAUCCUCUCUUGCUUGAGUUUCACAUAUUAUUGUUACUGUGACAUACCUCUGUGACAAACAGCUAUGGGAAAGAUUGUGGCAUAUUACUGAACUAAGCAACCUAGUGACGUGUCUCUUCUGACUGGGGCUUGCCCACAGAGACAACUGUGACAUAGCACUGAGCCCAGGACCCAGGUGAUGUGACUCUGCUGCCUGUUUCCAACAUUCAUGAGAGGAUGGUAACUAUCCCUUGCCAAGAACUCAGGUGAUUUGACUGUCCUGCCUUGUUGCUGCCCUCAGAGAAGAUUGUGAUAUAUCUUCAGCCCCAAACCCAGACUUUCCUGCAGGAGUGAUGCUGACAUGUUCCUCUAUUUGGCAUCUGAGUGAUAUGACUCUUGCCAUGGUCUAGCCCACAGAUGGAAUUGUGAUGUGUUGCUGUACCCAGCACCUAGGUGAUGUAACUCCAUUUUUCUGCCUUGGCAUUGCUCACAAAAGGUAUUUUGACAUAUCUCUGGGGUAUGUACCCAGGUUUCAUGACUCUCUUGCCUGUGCCCUGUCCACAAAUUGUCAUGAAAUAUUGCUGGGUCCAACACCCAGGGAUGUAACUCUCAUGCCUAGGCCCUGCCAACAGGGGGAAUUGUGACAAAUCUGUGUCAAUAACCCAGGUUAUGUGACUCUCUUUUUUUGCCUGGUCCCUGCUCACAGAGGGCAUUAUGACAUAUUGCUGAACUCAGCACCUAACUGAUGUGAUUCUCCUUUCUAGUUUUUGCCCACAGGGGAGAUUGUGACAUAUCACUGGGCCUCAAACUAAGGUGAAGUUACACUUUCAUUUUCGAACUGUACUCAGAAGGCAUCGUGACAUAUUCCUGGGCCCAGCACCAAGGUGAUGUGAGUCUCCUGCCUGCACUUUGCCCACAAAUGGCAUUGUAACAUAUCUUUAGACCUAUCAACUACUUGAUAUGACUUAUUUUUUUAAAGUGAAAGCAAGUUUAUUAGAGAAGUAAAUAAACAAAAGAAUGGCUACUCCAUAGACAGAGAAGACCUCAGGGCUGCUCAUUGGCUCUUUUCAUGGUUAUUUCUUGAGUACAUACUAAACAAGGGAUGGAUUAUUUGUGAGUUUUCCAGGGAAAGGAUGGGCAAUUUCCAGAACUCAGGGUGCCUUCC
This 1208-nucleotide long non-coding RNA is filed under the name Homo sapiens (human). Its description in RNAcentral is "HSALNT0396783". Lineage: Eukaryota; Metazoa; Chordata; Mammalia; Primates; Hominidae. The record is from RNAcentral.